RNAcentral lists this long non-coding RNA (1111 nucleotides) under Zonotrichia albicollis (white-throated sparrow). Its description in RNAcentral is "lncRNA (ENSZALG00000001039.1)". Lineage: Eukaryota; Metazoa; Chordata; Aves; Passeriformes; Passerellidae. The record is from RNAcentral.
GUUGUUUGUUUCUUGUUUAUUCAUUUAUUUGUUUUUUUGGUUUUGUUUCUUUAUUUAAUUUUUAUUUAUUUAAUUUACUAUAUAUAUUUUCAUAACGCUAUCUAUGUAUCUACUAAAAUAUUUGUAUUAGCUACACAUAUUCAAUAAUUUCACAAUGGUUUAAUGUGUGNCUUCUCGGCCCUUCCACUGGGAAUUCCUGGUGAUCCCAGCAAUUCCAGGUGAUCCCGGCUGCUUCCAGGCCCUUCCACCGGGAAUUCCAGGUGAUCCCAGGAAUUACAAGUGAUCCCGGGAAUGCCAGGCGAUCCCAGUUUACCUGCCUGCAUCCCAGCUGCUUCCCAGCCACUCCUUCGGGAAUUCCCGGUGAUCCUGGGAAUGCCAGGUGAUCCCAGCUGGUGAUUCCCGGCCCUUCCACCAGGAAUUCCAGGUGAUCCCGACAAUUCCAGGUGAUCCAGGAAUUCCAGGUGAUCCCAGCUGCUUCCUGGCCAUUUCAUGGGGAAUUACAGGUAAUCCAAAUUUUCCUAGAGGACACCCUGGCUGCUUCCCUGCCAGUCCACCGGGAAUUCCAGGUAUUCCCAGUUUUCCUGGCUGCAUUCUGGUUGCUUCCUCGCCAUCCCACACAUGUCAGGAAUUCCAGGUCAUCCCAGUUUUCCUGGAGGUCGCUCUGGCUGCAUCCCAGCUGCUUUCCAUUCCACCAGAAUGGAAUUUCAGGCGACCCCUGGCUGCAUCCCAGCUGCUUCCCUGCCAUCCCACACAUCCCAGGAAUUCCAGGUAAUCCCACUUUUCCUGGCUGCAUCCCAGCUGCUUCCCUGCCAUUCCUCCAGGAAUUCCAGGUGAUCCCGGGAAUGCCAGGUGAUCCCAGUUUACCUGCCUGCAUCCCGGCUGCUUCCCAGCCCUUCCACCGGGAAUUCCAGGAGAUCCCGGGAAUUCCAGCUGAUCUCAGGAAUGCCAGGUGAUCCCGGCUGCUUUCUGGCCCUUCCACCAGGAAUUCCAGGUGAUCCCGGGAAUUCCAGCUGAUCUCAGGAAUUCCAGGUGAUCCCGGCCGCUUCCCAGCCACUCCACAGGCAAUUCCAGGUGAUCCUGACAAUUCCAGGUAAUCUCAGAAAUUCCAGGU